Molecule: transfer RNA, 89 nt
Filed under: Prevotellaceae bacterium
Lineage: Bacteria; Pseudomonadati; Bacteroidota; Bacteroidia; Bacteroidales; Prevotellaceae
Description: tRNA-Leu
Rfam family: tRNA
About the family: Transfer RNA (tRNA) molecules are approximately 80 nucleotides in length. Their secondary structure includes four short double-helical elements and three loops (D, anti-codon, and T loops). Further hydrogen bonds mediate the characteristic L-shaped molecular structure. tRNAs have two regions of fundamental functional importance: the anti-codon, which is responsible for specific mRNA codon recognition, and the 3' end, to which the tRNAs corresponding amino acid is attached (by aminoacyl-tRNA synthetases). tRNAs cope with the degeneracy of the genetic code in two manners: having more than one tRNA (with a specific anti-codon) for a particular amino acid; and 'wobble' base-pairing, i.e. permitting non-standard base-pairing at the 3rd anti-codon position.
Source: RNAcentral
GCUCGGGUGGUGGAAUAGGUAGACACGCAGGACUUAAAAUCCUGUGGGCAGUAAUGCCUGUACGGGUUCGAUUCCCGUCCCGAGCACCA